CACGAAGGGCAAUGCGGUUGGCUGCAAAGCCAGGGGUAAGCGAUUCUCUCACAAACACAUCCUGAAAACAGACUGUUGCGCCCUCUCUGACAUGUUUUAUAAGGCCUCCUGCACAGAAAGCACACAUAACCACAGAAUUCCUUACCAGGAGCAUUCCGUGGGGUUAAGGGCAUGCCUCGUAGGUAUCGCCUCCUGAUCGAAUCUUCUGCUUGUCUUAGAACACUCCGGUGGCAGCAGAAAGGGGUGCUUGGUUUGUCGGAGGAGAGCAGUGACAGCAGUCGUGGAUACAAGAAAAGCUACUAUAUAUUUCAGAUGCUGCCAAUUCAAAACUUGAAGGGGAGACCAGAGAAUGCCUUUGACAGGAAGGCAGCUGACCCGCCAGCUCUGUGGCCUUCCAGUGUUUUGGGAGCAAGAGAUGUCAUUAGACCCGCCGUCAGCCCCGUGGCAAGUGUCCGGCUUCGGCCAGUGCCCGUCACCCCUAGACAAAAUCCGUCCACGGUAGCUCCUCGCUGGUUGGGGAGCAGAGCUCUGAGAGGCCCUGUCCCCACACCUCUCACCCAGGCCAGGAUACCACAGACAAAGGGACUGGCCUCUGUACCUAGAAACCGGGGGACCCACUUCGCUGUGUCAGCCAGGUUUCCUCCGACACCCCGAGUUCUGACGACUGCGGGUCUCCCCACAAACGGAGCCCUUCACGGCACCAGUGUCCCCACCUCUCCCACAACUAAGGAGCCCCGAGGAGAUAUGUAAGCCGAUGUGGCAGUGCCCCCUUCUCUUGGCAGGGGACCCACGUCUGUCUGUGUUGCUGUCUGGGUGCGGAGAGCAACGUUUGGGAGAAGUGUUCACACUCUGGGGGCCCAGGCAAUCACCCCUGUGAUGUACCCUGGGAACCCGGCUCUAUUACGGGAUUCACCUCAAUCACCAACUCCUCUAGACGUGAAAUUCUCAAGAAGGAAGCUUCACGGCCCCCGAGAAAGUGAUUUUGUCACGUGCUCUGUGACUCUGAGGCAAUUCCUCACUCUUACCGAAAAAUCAAAUGGUGGGGUGGCUCAGUCGGUUGGGCGUCCGACUUUGGCUCAGGUCAUGAUCUCACGGUCUGUGAGUUCCAGCCCCGUCGGGCUCUGUGCUGAUGGCUCAGAGCCUGGAGCCUGUUUCAGAUUCUGUGUCUCCCUCUCUCUCUGACCCUCUCCCGUUCAUGCUCUGUCUCUGUCUCAAAAAUAAAUAAACGUUAAAAAAAAAAAAAAGAAAAAUC
Molecule: long non-coding RNA, 1252 nt
Filed under: Felis catus (domestic cat)
Lineage: Eukaryota; Metazoa; Chordata; Mammalia; Carnivora; Felidae
Description: lncRNA (ENSFCAG00000040663.2)
Source: RNAcentral